This 409-nucleotide ribosomal RNA is filed under the name Gymnaetoides sp. 3 QDZ-2022a. RNAcentral's name for it is "partial small subunit ribosomal RNA". The record is from RNAcentral. Lineage: Eukaryota; Metazoa; Arthropoda; Insecta; Orthoptera; Rhaphidophoridae.
UAGGCUAGGGAUUAGAUACCCUAUUAUUUAAGAAGUAAAUAUUUUUGACUUGAGUAGUAUUAGUUAUAUUUUUGAAACUCAAAGAAUUUGGCGGUAUUUUAGUCUUUUCAGAGGAAUCUGUCCCGUAAAUGAUAAUACACGAUUUACUUUACCAUAUUUUGUAAUCUCAGUAUGUAUACCGCCGUCAUCAGUUUAUCUUAUAAGAGUUAUAAUUUUCUUUAAUUUUUAUUAUAAUAUAUGUCAGGUCAAGGUGCAGCUUAUAUUAUGGUGGAGAUGGAUUACAAUAAAUUUAUUUAUAUGGAAUAUUAUAUGAAAAAUUGAUAUGAAGGUGGAUUUGUAAGUAAUUUUAUUAAUUUUAUUAAAUUGAUUUUAGCUCUAAAAUAUGUACACAUCGCCCGGCCACUCUCAA